RNAcentral lists this ribosomal RNA (482 nucleotides) under uncultured bacterium. Its description in RNAcentral is "partial 16S ribosomal RNA". It matches the Rfam family "Bacterial small subunit ribosomal RNA", at positions 28 to 523 of the family's 1533-position model. The record is from RNAcentral.
GACGAACGCUGGAGGCGUGCUUAACACAUGCAAGUCGAACGAUGAAAUGGAGCUUGCUCCAUGGAUUAGUGGCGAACGGGUGAGUAACACGUGAAUAACCUGCCCUUAAUUUUGGAAUAACCCAGGGAAACCUGGGCUAAUACCGGAUAAGUAAACCUGUGGCAUCACAUGGUUUUGGAAAGUUUUUCGAUUAAGGAUGGAUUCGCGGCCUAUCAGCUUGUUGGUGAGGUAAUGGCUCACCAAGGCGACGACGGGUAGCCGGGCUGAGAGGGUAGACGGCCACACUGGGACUGAGACACGGCCCAGACUCCUACGGGAGGCAGCAGUGGGGAAUAUUGCGCAAUGGACGAAAGUCUGACGCAGCGACGCCUCGUGAGGGACGAAGGUCUUCGGAUUGUAAACCUCUUUCAGCAGGGACGAAGCGAAAGUGACGGUACCUGCAGAAGAAGCACCGGCUAACUAUGUGCCAGCCGCCGCGGUAA